RNA transcript from Carlito syrichta (Philippine tarsier), 1597 nucleotides. It is a transcript of the gene named tubulin alpha chain-like, with no coding region annotated. The record is from RefSeq and is a predicted model, not a curated record. NCBI's taxonomy places the organism in Eukaryota, Metazoa, Chordata, Mammalia, Primates, Tarsiidae. The transcript has a single exon.
GCUCAUUGGGGAUGGUAACUGGGACCCGGUGUCUACUCCUGUCGCCUUCGCCGCCUAACCCUUAGCCACUAUGCAUGAGUGUAUCUCCAUCCACAUUGGCCAGGCUGGUGUCCAGAUUGACAGUGCCUGCAGGGAGCUCUACUGCCUGGAACACGGCACCAGCCCAAUGGCCAGAUGCCAAGUGACAAGACCACUGGGGAAGGAGAUGACUCCUUCAACAUGUCCUUCAGAGAGGUGAGCGCUGCCAAGCAUGUGCCCAGGGCAGUAUUUGUAGACCUGGAACCCACGGUCAUUGAUGAAGUUCACACUGGUACCUACCGCCUGCUCUUCCACACUGAGCAGCUCAUCACAGGCAAGGAGGAUUCUGCCAACAACUAUGUCCGAGGACACUACACCAUUGGCAAGGAGAUCAUUGACCUCAUCUUGGACCGAGUUUGCAAGACAGAUCUUUAGGACUUCUUGGUUUUCUACAGUUUUGGUGGGGGAACCGGGUCUGGGUUCACCUCCUUGCUGAUGGAACAUCUCUCUGUGGAUUAUGGCAAAGAAGUCCAAGAUGGAGUUCUCCAUUUACCCAGCCCCCCAGGUUUCUACAGCUGUAACUGAGGUCUACAACUCCAUCCUUACCACCCACACCAUCCUGGAGCACACCUAUUGUGCCUUCAUUGUAGACAAUGAGGUCAUCUAUGACAUCUGUCAUAGAAACCUUGAUAUUGAGCACCCAACCUACACUAACCUUAACCGUCUUAUUAGCCAGAUUGUGUCCUCUGUUACUGCUUCCCUCAGAUUUGAUGGACCCCAGAAUGUUGACCUGACAGAUUUCCAGACCAACCUGGUGCUCUAUCCCUGCAUCCACUUCCCUCUGGUCACAUAUGCCCCUGUCAUCUCUGCUGAGAAAGCCUAUCACGAACUGCUUUCUGUAACAGAGAUCACCAAUGCUUGCUUUGAACCAGCCAAGACCAGAUGGUGAAAUGUGAACCUCGCUAUGGUAAAUACAUGACUUGCUGCCUGUUGUACUGUGGUGAUGUGGUUCCUAAAGACGUCAAUGCUGCCAUUGCCACCAUCAAGACCAAGUACAGCAUCCAGUUUGUGGAUUGGUGUCCCACUGGCUUCAAGGUUGGUAUUAAUUUCCAGCCUCCCACUGUGGUGCCUGGUGGAGACUUGACCAGGGUACAAAGAACUGUACAUACGGAGCAACGCUACAGCCAUUGAGGAGGCCUGGGCUUCCUGAACCACAAGUUUGACCUGAUGUAUGCCAAGCAUGCCUUUGUUCACUGGUACCUGAGUGGGCGAGGGGAUGGAAGAAGGAGAGUUUUCUGAGGCCUGUGAGGACAUGGCUGGUCUUGAGAAGGAUUAUGAGGAGGUUGGUGUGGAUUCUGUUGAAGGAGAGGGAGAGUAAGAAGGAGAGGAAUACUAAUUGUCUAUUCCUUUCAGCCCUGCAGUAUGUCAUCUCCCAAAAUUUCACUCCAACGUUAGCUGACAGACAUUGAAGCUUUCUGGUUAGAUUGUUCUCUCUCAGUGGUAAUCAUGUCUUUUCUAUGUGUACCUGUAAGAUUUUUCCAUCAUGUCUCAAAGUAAAAGCUUUAAGAUAAAAAAAAAA